GGGUUGUGAGGUUAAGCGACUAAGCGUACACGGUGGAUGCCCUGGCAGUCAGAGGCGAUGAAGGACGUGCUAAUCUGCGAAAAGCGUCGGUAAGGUGAUAUGAACCGUUAUAACCGGCGAUGUCCGAAUGGGGAAACCCAGUGUGAUUCGUCACACUAUCGUUAACUGAAUACAUAGGUUAACGAGGCGAACCGGGGGAACUGAAACAUCUAAGUACCCCGAGGAAAAGAAAUCAACCGAGAUUCCCCCAGUAGCGGCGAGCGAACGGGGAGCAGCCCAGAGUCUGAAUCAGCUUGUGUGUUAGUGGAACGGUCUGGAAAGUCCGACGGUACAGGGUGAUAGUCCCGUACACCAAAAUGCACAGGUUGUGAACUCGAAGAGUAGGGCGGGACACGUGGUAUCCUGUCUGAAUAUGGGGGGACCAUCCUCCAAGGCUAAAUACUCCUGACUGACCGAUAGUGAACCAGUACCGUGAGGGAAAGGCGAAAAGAACCCCGGCGAGGGGAGUGAAAAAGAACCUGAAACCGUGUACGUACAAGCAGUGGGAGCACCUUCGGGUGUGACUGCGUACCUUUUGUAUAAUGGGUCAGCGACUUAUAUUCUGUAGCAAGGUUAACCGUAUAGGGGAGCCGCAGGGAAACCGAGUCUUAACUGGGCGUUAAGUUGCAGGGUAUAGACCCGAAACCCGGUGAUCUAGCCAUGGGCAGGUUGAAGGUUGGGUAACACUAACUGGAGGACCGAACCGACUAAUGUUGAAAAAUUAGCGGAUGACUUGUGGCUGGGGGUGAAAGGCCAAUCAAACCGGGAGAUAGCUGGUUCUCCCCGAAAGCUAUUUAGGUAGCGCCUCGUGAAUUCAUCUUCGGGGGUAGAGCACUGUUUCGGCUAGGGGGUCAUCCCGACUUACCAACCCGAUGCAAACUACGAAUACCGAAGAAUGUUAUCACGGGAGACACACGGCGGGUGCUAACGUCCGUCGUGAAGAGGGAAACAACCCAGACCGCCAGCUAAGGUCCCAAAGUCAUGGUUAAGUGGGAAACGAUGUGGGAAGGCACAGACAGCCAGGAUGUUGGCUUAGAAGCAGCCAUCAUUUAAAGAAAGCGUAAUAGCUCACUGGUCGAGUCGGCCUGCGCGGAAGAUGUAACGGGGCUAAACCAUGCACCGAAGCUGCGGCAGCGACACUAUGUGUUGUUGGGUAGGGGAGCGUUCUGUAAGCCUGCGAAGGUGUGCUGUGAGGCAUGCUGGAGGUAUCAGAAGUGCGAAUGCUGACAUAAGUAACGAUAAAGCGGGUGAAAAGCCCGCUCGCCGGAAGACCAAGGGUUCCUGUCCAACGUUAAUCGGGGCAGGGUGAGUCGACCCCUAAGGCGAGGCCGAAAGGCGUAGUCGAUGGGAAACAGGUUAAUAUUCCUGUACUUGGUGUUACUGCGAAGGGGGGACGGAGAAGGCUAUGUUAGCCGGGCGACGGUUGUCCCGGUUUAAGCAUGUAGGCUGAUUAUCCAGGCAAAUCCGGAUAAUCAAGGCUGAGGUGUGAUGACGAGGCACUACGGUGCUGAAGUAACAAAUGCCCUGCUUCCAGGAAAAGCCUCUAAGCAUCAGGUAACAUCAAAUCGUACCCCAAACCGACACAGGUGGUCAGGUAGAGAAUACCAAGGCGCUUGAGAGAACUCGGGUGAAGGAACUAGGCAAAAUGGUGCCGUAACUUCGGGAGAAGGCACGCUGGUGUGUAGGUGAAGCCCCUGCGGGUGGAGCUGAGACCAGUCGAAGAUACCAGCUGGCUGCAACUGUUUAUUAAAAACACAGCACUGUGCAAACACGAAAGUGGACGUAUACGGUGUGACGCCUGCCCGGUGCCGGAAGGUUAAUUGAUGGGGUUAUCCGUAAGGAGAAGCUCUUGAUCGAAGCCCCGGUAAACGGCGGCCGUAACUAUAACGGUCCUAAGGUAGCGAAAUUCCUUGUCGGGUAAGUUCCGACCUGCACGAAUGGCGUAAUGAUGGCCAGGCUGUCUCCACCCGAGACUCAGUGAAAUUGAACUCGCUGUGAAGAUGCAGUGUACCCGCGGCAAGACGGAAAGACCCCGUGAACCUUUACUAUAGCUUGACACUGAACAUUGAGCCUUGAUGUGUAGGAUAGGUGGGAGGCUUUGAAGCGUGGACGCCAGUCUGCGUGGAGCCAACCUUGAAAUACCACCCUUUAAUGUUUGAUGUUCUAACGUUGGCCCCUGACCGGGGUUGCGGACAGUGUCUGGUGGGUAGUUUGACUGGGGCGGUCUCCUCCCAAAGCGUAACGGAGGAGCACGAAGGUUAGCUAAUCCUGGUCGGACAUCAGGAGGUUAGUGCAAUGGCAUAAGCUAGCUUGACUGCGAGCGUGACGGCGCGAGCAGGUGCGAAAGCAGGUCAUAGUGAUCCGGUGGUUCUGAAUGGAAGGGCCAUCGCUCAACGGAUAAAAGGUACUCCGGGGAUAACAGGCUGAUACCGCCCAAGAGUUCAUAUCGACGGCGGUGUUUGGCACCUCGAUGUCGGCUCAUCACAUCCUGGGGCUGAAGUAGGUCCCAAGGGUAUGGCUGUUCGCCAUUUAAAGUGGUACGCGAGCUGGGUUUAGAACGUCGUGAGACAGUUCGGUCCCUAUCUGCCGUGGGCGCUGGAGAAUUGAGGGGGGCUGCUCCUAGUACGAGAGGACCGGAGUGGACGCAUCACUGGUGUUCGGGUUGUCAUGCCAAUGGCACUGCCCGGUAGCUAAAUGCGGAAGAGAUAAGUGCUGAAAGCAUCUAAGCACGAAACUUGCCCCGAGAUGAGUUCUCCCUGAGACUUUAAGUCUCCUGAAGGAACGUUGAAGACGACGACGUUGAUAGGCCGGGUGUGUAAGCGCAGCGAUGCGUUGAGCUAACCGGUACUAAUGAACCGUGAGGCUUAACCUUACAACGCCGAAG
This 2923-nucleotide ribosomal RNA is filed under the name Klebsiella pneumoniae. Its description in RNAcentral is "bacterial LSU rRNA". It matches the Rfam family "Bacterial large subunit ribosomal RNA". Lineage: Bacteria; Pseudomonadati; Pseudomonadota; Gammaproteobacteria; Enterobacterales; Enterobacteriaceae. The record is from RNAcentral.